AUGAUUCAACUUCUGUUCCCAAAAGAAAAUCCUCCUUCUCCCUUUAGAACCCGCUGUUCGCGUCUCAACAUUCUCUCUUCACCGGCGAUUUCUGCCUAUCUCCGCAUAUCUCAUCCUUCAUGUUACCGUGAUGUUAUUCUUCUUCGACCCCUGUGUCUUCAUCGCAACGACACCUCUCAAUCAUCAUUACCUCUCUGCUUAUCCAUCAUCAUCUCUGGCCUUGUUUCCGCUCAACGAUAUGAUCUUCUUCAUCUCAAUACGACGUGA
Molecule: non-coding RNA, 267 nt
Organism: Vicia faba (fava bean)
Lineage: Eukaryota; Viridiplantae; Streptophyta; Magnoliopsida; Fabales; Fabaceae
Source: the annotation of a GenBank genome assembly